CGAAUGGCUCAUUAAAUCAGUUAUCGUUUAUUUGAUAAUACCUUACUACUUGGAUAACCGUGGUAAUUCUAGAGCUAAUACAUGCUGAAAAUCCCGACUUCGGAAGGGAUGUGUUUAUUAGAUAAAAAACCAAUGCCCUUCGGGGCUCCUUGGUGAUUCAUGAUAACUUUACGGAUCGCAUAGCCUUGCGCUGGCGACGGUUCAUUCAAAUUUCUGCCCUAUCAACUUUCGAUGGUAAGGUAUUGGCUUACCAUGGUUUCAACGGGUAACGGGGAAUUAGGGUUCGAUUCCGGAGAGGCAGCCUGAGAAACGGCUACCACAUCCAAGGAAGGCAGCAGGCGCGCAAAUUACCCAAUCCCGACACGGGGAGGUAGUGACAAUAAAUACUGAUACAGGGCUCUUUUGGGUCUUGUAAUUGGAAUGAGUACAAUUCAAAUCUCUUAACGAGGAACAAUUGGAGGGCAAGUCUGGUGCCAGCAGCCGCGGUAAUUCCAGCUCCAAUAGCGUAUAUUAAAGUUGUUGCAGUUAAAAAGCUCGUAGUUGAAACUUGGGCCUGGCUGGCGGGUCCGCCUCACCGCGUGCACUCGUCCGGCCGGGCCUUCCUUCUGAAGAACCUCAUGCCCUUCACUGGGCGUGCUGGGGAAUCAGGACUUUUACUUUGAAAAAAUUAGAGUGUUCAAAGCAGGCCUUUGCUCGAAUACGUUAGCAUGGAAUAAUAAAAUAGGGCGUGCGUUUCUAUUUUGUUGGUUUCUAGAGACGCCGCAAUGAUUAACAGGAACAGUCGGGGGCAUCAGUAUUCAGUUGUCAGAGGUGAAAUUCUUGGAUUUACUGAAGACUAACUACUGCGAAAGCAUUUGCCAAGGAUGUUUUCAUUAAUCAGUGAACGAAAGUUAGGGGAUCGAAGACGAUCAGAUACCGUCGUAGUCUUAACCGUAAACUAUGCCGACUAGGGAUCGGGCGAUGUUCUUUUUCUGACUCGCU
This 981-nucleotide ribosomal RNA is filed under the name Alternaria dactylidicola. RNAcentral describes it as "SSU rRNA". It matches the Rfam family "Eukaryotic small subunit ribosomal RNA", at positions 90 to 1080 of the family's 1831-position model. Lineage: Eukaryota; Fungi; Ascomycota; Dothideomycetes; Pleosporales; Pleosporaceae. The record is from RNAcentral.